UGAGGUUGAAUUUGAACUUGCAUCUCUAUUAAUCUAUCUUGUUAUCUUUUUCUCAAAAAAAAAGCUGAUCAUUAUUUAGGUGAUAUGUAAGAAAUGGGUAAAUAUCUAACCGAGCGAUGUAAAUACUUUUCUUAUUCAUCACACUAGUAUAAGCUCAUGUGGAGGCCUAUUGUUUUCCUAGUAGAUACAAUUCUGUGCCUGUGUUAACUCCGUUAGUGUCAAAGAUAUCAAGCUUCAAUGUCCCUGCUGCCGUUACUCUGAACACCAUGGCUUGAAAUAAAUACCUGAAAAAUGAAACUGGUGCAGUUAGAAUGGAAGGCACUACUACCAGUACAUGGAUGGUUCACCUGUAGAUGUUAGUCUUGUUGGCCAGUUGCAGGAUUGCAGCUCAAAGCAAUCCCCAGCUUGAGGCUCACCAGUCAGCACUCACAUGUGUUAGAUUUCUGAAAAAACCAAAAACUUAGCCUUGAUUGGUCAGCCUGCACGGCAAAAAUUUGACAUUGAAGCAUGUGCUGAAGAUUUGGCAGGUAAUACACUAGUUUUCCUUGGGUUUUUGUCUGGAACAAUUUAUUCUUAGCAGAUACUUUGUCAAGCAUAACUGCAAGUACCCUCAAGGACUUCUUCGUAUAGUAAUCUAUUCUACUUUAGUUCUCUUUAAAUACAACAACCUAGUAUAAAAAAACGAGACUGUAAUU
This 695-nucleotide long non-coding RNA is filed under the name Oryza brachyantha (malo sina). RNAcentral's name for it is "long non-coding RNA (OBRA_LNC002712)". Lineage: Eukaryota; Viridiplantae; Streptophyta; Magnoliopsida; Poales; Poaceae. The record is from RNAcentral.